RNAcentral lists this long non-coding RNA (587 nucleotides) under Triticum aestivum (bread wheat). RNAcentral describes it as "long non-coding RNA (TAES_LNC023072)". The record is from RNAcentral. Lineage: Eukaryota; Viridiplantae; Streptophyta; Magnoliopsida; Poales; Poaceae.
ACACGAGAUAAACCUGCAGAUGUUUUAUGUUGUUUGUUGCACAAGUUGUGUCCGAAAUUUCCGCCAUUCAGAUAUGCUCUGCAGCUACAACAAUGCACCUUUUCAAGGAAAAAAAAGCUAAAACAAAGCACUUCAGAGACAGGAAUAGUAGCUCUCGUCUGACACGAGAAGGAGGAUAUGUGGGGUUACUCUUAACUAAAUUCAUGUGUUGAUCAGCCAGACUCAGAAGUCAGGAUGGCCUCGGCAGACGCCUAAUGUGUGCAAGAAUGAUUAAAGUUGGAUAUGCAAGCCUGUAACCUGGUGUGCCGUCGCCGAUUACUAGUUUCCUGUUGUGAUAUCAGCGACGCAGUGUGUGUGUAGUAUACUACUAUGCUAUCUUGGUACAUCCUAAUGAGCUCAUCUCUUCCCAUUUUCCUUUAUCUUUGUGAUGCUUCAAACUAUCUUUGUGAUGCAGUGUGUCUGUACUAUCCUAUCUUGGAUCUUCACAGAAUUUUGCUACUGGUCUGGACUCAUUCUGUCAGUGGUUGUUUGCUUUGUGGACUUGUGCUCGUGGUCUCUGUUUUUUCAAGCUGAUCCUGAAGCUUGCU